Molecule: ribosomal RNA, 492 nt
Filed under: uncultured bacterium
Lineage: Bacteria
Description: partial 16S ribosomal RNA
Rfam family: Bacterial small subunit ribosomal RNA
Source: RNAcentral
AGUGAACGCUGGCGGUAGGCCUAACACAUGCAAGUCGAACGGCAGCACAGUAAGAGCUUGCUCUUACGGGUGGCGAGUGGCGGACGGGUGAGGAAUACAUCGGAAUCUACUUUUUCGUGGGGGAUAACGUAGGGAAACUUACGCUAAUACCGCAUACGACCUACGGGUGAAAGCAGGGGAUCUUCGGACCUUGCGCGAUUGAAUGAGCCGAUGUCGGAUUAGCUAGUUGGCGGGGUAAAGGCCCACCAAGGCUACGAUCCGUAGCUGGUCUGAGAGGAUGAUCAGCCACACUGGCACUGAGACACGGUCCAGACUCCUACGGGAGGCAGCAGUGGGGAAUAUUGGACAAUGGGCGCAAGCCUGAUCCAGCCAUACCGCGUGGGUGAAGAAGGCCUUCGGGUUGUAAAGCCCUUUUGUUGGGAAAGAAAAGCAGCAGGUUAAUACCCCGCUGUUCUGACGGUACCCAAAGAAUAAGCACCGGCUAACUUCGUG